Molecule: ribosomal RNA, 1069 nt
Filed under: uncultured bacterium
Lineage: Bacteria
Description: bacterial SSU rRNA
Rfam family: Bacterial small subunit ribosomal RNA
Source: RNAcentral
AUCCAGCUUGCUGGAUGCUGACGAGCGGCGGACGGGUGAGUAAUGCAUAGGAAUCUGCCCGAUAGUGGGGGAUAACCUGGGGAAACCCAGGCUAAUACCGCAUACGUCCUACGGGAGAAAGGGGGCUCCGGCUCCCGCUAUGGGAUGAGCCUAUGUCGGAUUAGCUAGUUGGUGAGGUAACGGCUCACCAAGGCCACGAUCCGUAGCUGGUCUGAGAGGAUGAUCAGCCACAUCGGGACUGAGACACGGCCCGAACUCCUACGGGAGGCAGCAGUGGGGAAUAUUGGACAAUGGGGGAAACCCUGAUCCAGCCAUGCCGCGUGUGUGAAGAAGGCCCUCGGGUUGUAAAGCACUUUCAGCGAGGAAGAACGCCUAGCGGUUAAUACCCGCUAGGAAAGACAUCACUCGCAGAAGAAGCACCGGCUAACUCCGUGCCAGCAGCCGCGGUAAUACGGAGGGUGCAAGCGUUAAUCGGAAUUACUGGGCGUAAAGCGCGCGUAGGUGGCUUGAUAAGCCGGUUGUGAAAGCCCCGGGCUCAACCUGGGAACGGCAUCCGGAACUGUCAAGCUAGAGUGCAGGAGAGGAAGGUAGAAUUCCCGGUGUAGCGGUGAAAUGCGUAGAGAUCGGGAGGAAUACCAGUGGCGAAGGCGGCCUUCUGGACUGACACUGACACUGAGGUGCGAAAGCGUGGGUAGCAAACAGGAUUAGAUACCCUGGUAGUCCACGCCGUAAACGAUGUCGACCAGCCGUUGGGUGCCUAGCGCACUUUGUUGGCGAAGUUAACGCGAUAAGUCGACCGCCUGGGGGAGUACGGCCGCAAGGUUAAAACUCAAAUGAAUUGACGGGGGCCCGCACAAGCGGUGGAGCAUGUGGUUUAAUUCGAUGCAACGCGAAGAACCUUACCUACUCUUGACAUCCUGCGAAUUUGGUAGAGAUACCUUAGUGCCUUCGGGAACGCAGAGACAGGUGCUGCAUGGCUGUCGUCAGCUCGUGUUGUGAAAUGGUUGGGUUAAGUCCCGUAACGAGCGCAACCCUUGUCCUUAUUUGCCAGCGCGUAAUGGCGGGAACU